UAUGUCCUACGGGGGGCAGCAGUGGGGAAUAUUGCACAAUGGGGGAAACCCUGAUGCAGCGACGCCGCGUGAGGGAGGAAGGUACAGAGUAUCGUAAACCUCUUUUGUCAGGGAACAAAGGCGGGGACGUGUCCCCGGAUGAGUGUACCUGAAGAAAAAGCAUCGGCUAACUCCGUGCCAGCAGCCGCGGUAAUACGGAGGAUGCGAGCGUUAUCCGGAUUUAUUGGGUUUAAAGGGUGCGCAGGCGGUCUGUUAAGUCAGCGGUCAAAGCCCGGGGCUCAACCCCGGCCCGCCGUUGAAACUGG
RNAcentral lists this ribosomal RNA (305 nucleotides) under uncultured bacterium. RNAcentral describes it as "bacterial SSU rRNA". It matches the Rfam family "Bacterial small subunit ribosomal RNA", at positions 333 to 636 of the family's 1533-position model. The record is from RNAcentral.